ACGACCUUACUUGAACAGGAUCUGUUCUAUAGUAGUCGUACCGCUGCAUCCUUUACCAAUAAGGAGGCAAGCACUUAACCCUGGAUCAUCAGUUGAGAUGAUCCAUGGCUGUAGAGGAUCGUUCUUGAUCAGCCCUAGCUAACCAGGUGGCUCGUUCUUGAUCAGCCCUACCUGACCAGGUGGCUCGUUCUUGAUCAGCCCUACCUGACCAGGUGGCUCGUUCUUGAUCAGCCCUAGCUGACCAGGUGGCUCUCAGGUUGCCUGACAGGGC
This 271-nucleotide small nucleolar RNA is filed under the name Triticum urartu. RNAcentral describes it as "Plant small nucleolar RNA U3". It matches the Rfam family "Plant small nucleolar RNA U3". From Rfam's summary of the family: Small nucleolar RNAs (snoRNAs) are involved in the processing and modification of rRNA in the nucleolus. There are two main classes of snoRNAs: the box C/D class, and the box H/ACA class. U3 snoRNA is a member of the box C/D class. The record is from Rfam by way of RNAcentral. Lineage: Eukaryota; Viridiplantae; Streptophyta; Magnoliopsida; Poales; Poaceae.